Passer domesticus (house sparrow) is the source of this 6210-nucleotide long non-coding RNA. RefSeq lists it as uncharacterized. The record is from RefSeq and is a predicted model, not a curated record. The transcript has 3 exons. Lineage: Eukaryota; Metazoa; Chordata; Aves; Passeriformes; Passeridae.
UUUUACAUAAAAACAUCCUAAUGCAGUGAAGCCUGAGUGCCCUUGGAUGCAUAAGGAAUGGACUCAGUGAGAGAUGAGGAUGCAGAUGAGUGGACGUGAAGUGGCAAGCAGGAUACAGACACAACGCUGAACUGGAAAGGCUGAAGUGAGCAUUCAUCCCAUAUUAAUGCUCAUCUUCCUGCCAGCUUUGCACUCAUCACUGUGUGCAUUGAAAGGCUGUGAGUUACAGUGAACAGGGCUGAAAGAUAACCUUACAAAAGAUGGGAUGGGAGAUGUGGAACCCUGUGCCUUUGGAGCCAGUCAUAUAAAGAAACAUAGGAGGCCUGGGGUGGUAGCAGAGAAAAACUGAUUAUCUGUGACAGUCAGUGAUUUACAGCGGACAUCAGUAUAAAAACCACUUUUCCCAUCCCUUGUUACAUGGCCCUGUAGGCAUCUCUCUUCCUUAGUCUCAGAAGAGAAAUCUGCAGAUUUUCUCUGUACCUUCACAGGUAUUCUGCCUCUGUUUGGAAGAAAAAAAAUUUAGAACCAGAAACAUUCUGUUGUGAGCUAAAUCCACAUGCAAAUACUAAAAUUUGUAUUCUGUGGGCAGUUAAAUGAAUUUCUGAGGUCUGCAAGCUUAGAAGACUGAAAAAUUGCCAGAAGCCUGGCAAGGUGACAUAGUCAUCCUUCUGCAAUUACUGUGAUAUAACACAACCUAAGUUUUCUUGAGGAAAAAACAAUCCAUACUGAGUUUGUGCAAUAAGCCUCUGUCAAGCACUUCCAUUUUCAGGAAUCCACAGUGUAGACAAUGCUUUGAAGUCAAAGGUUAACAGUGGGGCUUAUGGAACACAAAACCAUACAUGAACCAAUUCCAGUCGACCAAAAGCAACCUAUAGUUCAACACUUGGAAUUCACAGUUUUCUUUUCCAGUAAGACUUGUAAAGUCCAGGUAGGUCUUUAAAAAUAUAGAAGCAUAUGACACAUGUUUAUGUCUACAUAGACCCAAGAGUGAAAUCUGAAAGAAGAGAAACCUAGCAGACAAAAUUUAAGCUUAUUUUCUUGGCAAAUGUAGGCAUUUUACUUUUAAGAUAACUAUAACAUUCCUUAGUUAAUGUGGGGUGGUGGCUUUAAGGGUUCAUGCAUUGAAGGCUUGGCAUUGACAUUCAUAAUUUGGUUUAUACAGUGAAAAAUAUAUUGUGUAAAUUGGUUGAUUUUCUCCUUUUUUUUCCUCCUGCUACAAUAAAAAGCACAUUUUUAUUAAUAAAAAAAUCCUAAAUUUAACUUUAUGGGGGGAAAAAAAGUAGGAGAACUAGUCUGGAUUGUUGAUACUAGUUUGUAAGAGAAAAAUGUACUGAUAUCCUUGCUAUAUGCCAUAAAAAUGGUACAAAGAUCAGGAAAAUUCCUUAUAUUUUUCACUGAGUAAAGGAAGUUUUGAUUAUACAGAUCAUACAGAGAACUGUCCCCAUCAAUUCCCUUUUUCAUAGGCCAUACAAGAAAUCCGGGCCUGGUAGGAAUACAGGUAUGAAUGCUGAAUAUUUUGCUGGUGAUUAACUAUCACACUAAUAAAGGAAAAUCUAAAAACAUUUCAAGAAAACAAAUUCUUGAAGAAGAACAUGCACAGAACUACUACUAAUGUAGAAGAACUACAUAUAACAAAUCUCUUUAAUAAGGUUCAAAAAAUCUCCUUUCAGUAGCCACAUUACUGGAGGAAGGAUAUGAUCUGAGGAAUUUAACCAUUUAUCUCUGUUUCCCCCCCGAAAUAACAGAAAUCUGUGCAACUAGUCAAAUCUUGUAUCCUUGCAGCCUUGGUAAAGGCAGUUAUAAAAUAUUGCCACAAAUGCCUUUGUCCACAACUUGCUAACAUGCAACACUUCAUCUAUAAUCUUCAGAAGGCAAAGCUGACUUUCCUGGUACAUGGAAGUUGCUUGUGAACUCCAACCCUUCCUUCCUCUUGCCAGUGUUUUUUGCAUUAAGGUACAGCCCUGAGAAAUCACAUUUGGCAGCUUUCCUUGAAAUGCUUGGAGUCAAGUGGCUACAAAGGAUCUCUUCAAUUUAACAAGUAUUAUCCCACUCAAACAGUGGGAAGUGUUGGAGGUGAACCAUGCAGUUAAGAAAGCAGGAAAUGCAUUAAAGUAAACAAAUAAAUAACACUUUUUGCUCUCACCAGUAAUACUGGCUUCUGAAUGCCUGAUAGGACACCAUAAAGCAGUCUUUGUUCACAUCUGAGCAGAAACUGCUACUCCUGAACUAUUUCACACUGUUAGUACAGGAGAACAAUGCAAAAAGACUCACUCAUGCCAAAUAAACACACAAAAACCCCCAUGCUCAGACAGUGGAUUUGUCACAGGAAUGGUUAGGAAAAAAAGCAGGCAGGAAAUACAUUCCAAGAAAAGCCAACAAGGAUUUUCAACACUGCUUCUUCCCUGAGCACUGCAGCAUUAAAACAGGCUUGCACUUGGAAAUGAGAAUUUAAAAGCUCCUGGGGUUACUAUGUAAUGUUUAGAUUUGUUUUAAUGAUUGACAGAACAGAUUGAAAUUGGGAAGAUGUUCCUUUCAUGGCAGUAUUACCUCAUUUCAUAUUCAACAGACAGCAGUGAGAAUACUUACUAAAACAAUACAAAAAGGUAAGGUGACUUUCUUGUCCAGAACUGAAAACAGAAAAGUGAAAAUGAAAGUAAAGAAACAAGAUAAAACUUAAUGGAAACAUGGUUAUGGCUUUGUCUAAUUUGCAACUUUCAUCAAAUCCUGAAAUAUUUGUUAAAACUGUGAAAGACAGAUCAAGACACAGUAAAAUCAAUUACAGAAAUUCAUCAAUCUGUGCCAUUCAAGCAUGAUGCUGCAAGGGGUGUAUUUAUAUACCAUGACAGUACACACAUGAUAAUUUUUCUAAAUCAGUUACAUUUAAGCAUAUUUGAGUCAAACAUGUAGCCUCACAUCUUUAAUGCUCACCAAGAUGGCUUUGAGUAUUCCCAUUAGAGAUAAUUAUAAAAUUUUGUCUGUUGAGCAUACAAUGUAUAAAAAUAGAUACACUAACUGGAAACAAUUCUAAUUUUUAUUCUGUUCAAUUCUUUUGGUUUACAUUUGCUAUGCUCCAAAUGGUCAACAUUUUUUUUCAUUAAUUAAUUCAAUCAGUCUUGCUUUUGUUUUCUGUUUUAACUAAACAAAGUCUGAAAAGUUUCCAUUGUUGCUGUUGCUGUGUUUCCAAAACAUCCUGUGGUAUGUCCAAUUUGCUACAUAUUUGGCUAUUUUUCGUGCACUUUCUGUCAGUGUUCAGUCUGUUAGCAUGCAGUGUUCUUUCUGGCAUCAAAUGUCUGAAUUUCCUUCCUAGAUUCUCUGGUAUUGGUUCACAGCAUACUUAUUUUGAUCAUGAGACAAACAUUAAUAUUAAAUGUGUAUAUUACACAUACCAUAUUAAGCUUGCAGAAAAGUCUGGGAUAAAUAUGUUUCAGAAAUGUUUACUUUCUUUAACUACCUAAUUUAUUUAAAAAAUGCAUUUCUUUGGCUUUGUUUGUACCUAUUUGGUGUACAUGUUCCAUAAAUACUUUUGUAAUGCUCUUAACUGAGUAGUUACAACUGCUAAUUUUGAUUAGAUGCUCUUUUAGUAGCAGGAAAUAUAGUUCAUCAUUCAUAUGCCAUCAUUAAUCCACACUUAAUUUGCCACUGUUGCUAGCUUAUGAUCCUGGAGGAUAUCUUCCACUUAUGUGUACCACAAUGCAGUGCCUUGUGACCUAGACUGGAUCAAAGUCAUAAGGGUCAAGUUAUUCCCUGAAGAAAUUAGUGUAUCCUUCAAGACAACAAGUAUGAGUGAUAAAUAGGAUCUGUUAGUACAAUUCACAUCAGGGAGGAAUCACAGUGAAGAAAGAGACAGGAUCAGGCAACCUGGGAAUAAGAUGUAUUGCAAUGCUCAAUGACAAGCCUGUGAUUUCACUGUUCAACAGAAGAACUCCAGUUCAAUAAAAAAAGGUUCAGAACAACCUGGAACAGCACAGCCCCACCAUACUGCAAAGCACAGUGACACUUCUAAAAGAGAAAGGAAAUCCUGCACCCAUUUCCUGCAGAAAGCAGUUCCCUAAGUGACCACACCAUUGCAUUAACAAGGCUGCUCUCUGUCAGGACUGGACAUACCAGGUACAAAUCAGGCUGACUUCCACAAAGAGAAUUACCCAGCCUUUGGUGGCAGCAUGUCCCAGGCACCAAUUACACAGAAGAGAUAUGCAGGAGCAAUGCUUGACCCUCAAGAACUGUGUGAGCUAUUCACUGCUACCCUUAGACAGCAAGGGAAAACCCAGCCCAAAGUGCUUGAAGGCAUAACACAAGCAGUGGGUGGGAGGAGUAAUAAAACUUUUUCCUUCUUCCUUGUUUAUCCUGUCAAGAAACCCCAGAUAAUGCUCAGAGCACACACGUGCUUCUCCCCUGGGCUACAGAGGAGUGGAACCAUAUCAGGGCAGCACUGCACCACAGACUGGUGAUGCUGCAGAGCAUAGAAUGAAUUUGGGGAUAUCCCAGACUAACAGGCUUAUGUGGCCUCUGGGACACAAGGUAAUAAGAUAGCAGCUCUACCUGAUGUAAAGUGAAUCUGUCUUCACUCUCCUGAGAUGGAGACUCAAAAUGUGAAGCUGGUCUCAAAUCUUAACUGGCUAAAAAGCACUGAAUUAAGCUGACAUGAACUUUUGAUUACAAACUGAUAAAGAAACUGAAUGCUUACUGUGAACUGUAAUAUUCUCUUGCAUGUAUUCAGAUUUGUUUUGACAUCUGUUUUUUAUGGGGAAACAUGACAUUGCUUACCAUAUCAUACACUUCUGUUUCAUUCAAAGAACUGUAAAACACUAAUGCACAAAAACGUGGAUGUUCCCAGGUUUACUCUUCCAAAAUCUUAGGCACAGUUCACCAAAGACAAGUAAAUUAGCAACGUAUGAGGCUGUAAUAUUUCAGUAAACCAGAAGUAAACGAAUAAUUGUGAUACCUUUCACACUUUAUUAAUUUCUGUUGUUGCUAAAUCAUAACAAACAGGAUGUUUAUUAAAUUAUCCCUGAAGACAGACAACAUGAAAUAGUAUUUUAAUUUUCCACUUAGAUUCUACCUCCAAUUACAUAAUUUUCAAGUCCUGCUGUAAAAUAUUUUCAUAAAAUCACCUUUAAAAAUGUUUUCUAUAGAAAACCAUGCUUAAAACACAUCCUAAAUGGAAUUAUAAAAACAAAUCAAAAUUUUUGUCUGACAGUCAACAUUUAUAGGUUCUAUUGAAUGCCUGGGCUGUGCAAAAAGUGUUAUUAAUUAACAUUCCUAUCUUUAACACAUGGUUCAUGAAUGAGGGAUGUGCUGCCUACAAAGGGCUGGUAGACGUGGCUAACUAGUGAAACCCACCGCUCAGAUAAAUUCAAUUUCUUGUUUUACAAUAUUUUAUAGAAUUUCUGCAUAGACAGAAGGGAAACACAGGGGAAAAUGAAAAGUGAAUACAAAGUAAAAUCUUGCUAUGAAAAUAUUCUGUUAAAGUACUGUGACAAGUGUUGCCUUUUUUAAGAAUUAAGGCUAAAUCUUACUUUUCUUGUUCAUAGGAUCAGUUAAAUGGUGUUCAUGAGAAUUAUACCAUUGGAUUCAAUCAAAGUACAGGCUGUGACACUUCAGUUGUUCUUAGGAACAAAAAGUGCUAUUUAACUCUGUUACUGUAGUCAGUGCCCUCAUUGUUAAGGACUAGUGAGAGAAGAGAAAAUCCUGAGAGUUUUGAUGCAUUGAAACAUUAUCUGAAAUUUAAAAAAAAACCAACAAAAAGCCAUUUAAACCUUCUCUUAGUAUAUGUCAGGAAGAUUUCAAUGAUGGACCAGUAUUCACAAUAAUUUCUAUACUGUUCAACUUCAAUAUGUCUGAAUAAAGGAAGCGCACAAGAUCUCUUCACCUUCAGAAAUGUAAAUUUGGAACUGUCCUUGUACAAAAGGUAUUUGAUCAUCCACACUGUUUGUCUUCAGCAGAUGCUUUUGUAUCCAAGCCUGCUCCCAUGGUAAUCAACAGAAAUUAGCCACUGACUCAAAAGACAAUGCAGUUCUUCACUACACUGUUGGACAGACAUCUUUUACUUAAAUCAAGAAUUUGUCUAGACCUUGACCUUAAUGAUAUGCAUUUUUACUAUGUGACUCUCUACCAUUAUUUGUAUUCUCAAAUUAAAAUUUCUGUGAAAUGAAAGCAUUUUUGUAUUAGCUAAUGAUAAUCUGUCAAUAAACACUGGAGACGUUAAAAUUG